This 1460-nucleotide long non-coding RNA is filed under the name Homo sapiens (human). RNAcentral describes it as "novel transcript". The record is from RNAcentral. Lineage: Eukaryota; Metazoa; Chordata; Mammalia; Primates; Hominidae.
AGGCUGGGCUGUGAGCUAGCGGGCGUGGAGAGUGAAGCCCCGCCUGGCCCCCCUUCCACACUGGAAGCCUCUCUGUGGCUGAUGGGAGGACCAGGGCUGAUGAAAGGAUGGAGCCAUGAAGGGCAGCCCUCCUGCUGCGGGUCGCCCUGCUGCUGCCCUGGGCCUGCAGCUCCUGGCACGUGGGUCUCUGGGACUCCUUGUGGAUGUGCCUCUCCAGGGCCCUCCAUCCUCGGUGGGCAGGAGACUCCCCUAGGGAGCUUGCUCUCAAGUUCUCAAUAGCAUACACACGGCUGCCACAAAUACACAGAAGUUUUGGGAAUUAGCUCUGUGAGACAGGCCUAUUUCAGAUAAGAAAAAUGAGGAUCAGAGAAGCUGAAAGUCUUGCGGAGGACACCCCAGCAAGGCGAAUUACAGGCCCAGAAUUCUAACGAGGGCAUCCGGACUCUGGGAUUACAACCGCCUUCUGCGUCCCAGGAAAAACCUCCUCUAGUCAUGCCCAGAUCUGCCUGGUCUAAAAACCACAAAAAUCGCAGGACUUUCCACUGAGUCAAUGCUUGUCACGUCUAGAGACCUGGAUCGAGCUGUUUCCUUCCAUUCACAGAGCCGUCCUGCAGGAGAGAUGUUACUUUUACCAUCAAUGUAAAAACUGAGCCUUAAACUGCUUCAGAAACUGUUUAGAUUCAUUCAACUGAAUAUUCACACUGGAGUUUGAAUCAAGGCCUACGUGGCUUUAGAAAUUUAAGAUCCAAACCGUACCACUGUUGUACCUGACAUCCUUCAUGCACCUCCCUCAUCUUCAGAGAAACAAUUCUAAUUCUUCACUUUAAAGCAAGGUAGUGUGACUUUCCAAUGACUUCAGGGCAUUCGGUAAAGAACAGCUUGGUUCAAAGUAAGUUGAUGAGCACAGCAAUUUCUUCAUAAUGGCAACCUGGUUAAAAAAAAAUAAAAUAAACCCAUACCUGGCUUUGGGAAGGAAGUUGUUUGUUUUAAUGUUUUGUAUUUGGACUUGCAUCACAUAGAGUGGUGAUUUUUUUCAACAUUUUGUGUGUCACUUAACAUUUUUAAAAAUAAAGUCUUACAAGCUGUGAAACAAUGUGAACAUCCUGAUCCUAUCUCUGUAAAAUAUGAUGGGUGCACAUUGAUAGACGAGGGUGUGGAAAGUUACAUCUGAAGGUGGCAACAGGAGUUGCCUCUGCAUGUGUGGAAUUAGAAGGAUUGUUGAUUUCAUUUAUUUAUCUGAAUAUACGAUAGAGAAAGUUCAAGUAGCACAGAUGGCUGCACAAUGAAGAGGAAUUUCACCUCUUACACUCAUUCUCAGUCCACUCGCCAAAGGCAAUUACAUGGAUAUGUAUUCUUCCUGAAAUAUUCUUUUCAUACACAAUCGUGUAUAAAAUCGUGUAUGAAAAAAAGUCUGCUCAUCAUGUAGUGUGUGUUUAUAUAUAAAUGUACUUAUUUAUAUA